AAACCAAUCCAGCCUCGUGCUUGGGUCUUGGGCCUUUCGCCUCUGGGCGGGCCUUAAAAUCAGUGGCGGUGCCAUCUGGCUCUAAGCGUAGUAAUACUCCUCGCUAUAGACGUCUGGUGGUGUCUUGCCAAUAACCCCUAAUUUUUACA
Molecule: unclassified non-coding RNA, 149 nt
Filed under: Lachnellula fuscosanguinea
Lineage: Eukaryota; Fungi; Ascomycota; Leotiomycetes; Helotiales; Lachnaceae
Description: partial internal transcribed spacer 2
Source: RNAcentral